Molecule: long non-coding RNA, 237 nt
Organism: Engraulis encrasicolus (European anchovy)
Lineage: Eukaryota; Metazoa; Chordata; Actinopteri; Clupeiformes; Engraulidae
Exons: 3
Source: RefSeq, a predicted model, not a curated record
UCAAAAUAAUGUGAGCGGAGCACUACCAACAUCAUUGCACUAGGAUUGUGGGCUAAUGUGUUCCUGACAUGUGUGUGGACUUUUGACAAAUGGACUGAUGACAUGAUCUGAUGUUGACAGAUUAGCCAACCGAGAUUUCAAACCUUGGAAAGGCCCUACAGCGAUGUCCCAAAAUUGAUUAUAUCAUCACCACAUGUAUGAAAUCUAGUCCCCCUAAAAGGAAACUCCCAUGUGUAU